UGACAUUCAGUAUAGAAUCGUCUAUUUACCAGUUCGGUGGUUACGCAAGAACUUUUGACUGCGAACCGUUGGUUGAAAAAAAUUAUUUUGUUCGUUUUUUUGGCUCGAAAAAAGUGUUUUUCAUUAGAAAAUACAAUGUUAAAAAAAUUCGAAUCGAACAACGAACAAAAUAAUUUUUUUUUCAACCAUGUGGAACGGUCGACAGUAUAAGUGGAUAUAUAUGGAAAUGAAAUUAUUUUAUAUAUAAAAAGAGUGAAGUGAGCUGGAUUAUAAUUAGUAGUAAGCUCGGCAAUUACUGCGCGAACUCGAUAACACAACAGGACGAUCGUUUGAUAUUGACGGCGGUUGAUUACUGGGAACAAAUUUGAAAAACUCAGAUGCUGUGAUGCAAGAGGUUUUUUUUCCAGAUGUCUGAGGUAAUUUGGGGAAAGUUUUUGAAUAGAACAACAUUUCUUGGAGGCUAUAAUUCUGUGGGCGAGAUUGAAAGUGGUGUAUGUUUCAAACGCUUUUUGUAUUGAAAUAAGUAGAGUAUGUCUCCAAGAGGAGAGAGGAAAAAUCAAAAUGCAAACAUGAGAAACUUUUGUUUUGACUAUUUGUAUCGAUUGAUUGUAUGGAAAAUUGAAAAAAUCUCAAAUUUCGUUGCUUUUUCCAGUUCGAUAUUAAUUUUUUUGAUAAACAAAUGAAAAAACAAAACAUACCAGCCUAAAAAAUCCGAAGAAAAAAUGUCAUAUUCACAAAUCAAACGAAAUAAAAAACAUUUCGACUUUCGCCGAUAUUUUUCAUUGGCAAAUGAAUGGAAAACAAAGCAUGCUGAGCUAAAAAAAAUCUGAAAAAAUGUCACCUGCACAAAAUCAAACAAAAUAAAAAACAAUUUGAUUUUUUUCGAAUGAAAUUUUGAAUUGAUUUUGUUUUGUUUAUUUGAUUGAAAAUUUAAUUUGAACUUGAACAAUUCACAAUUUGUUUUGCAUUUUUUUGUUCCAUUCAUGAACGAAUCAAUUCAUGAUUUGAUUGCGAUGUAGGACGCUUAUGAAGCGGUUAUCAACCAAAUGGACAUCUGGCAUCGCUUGCACUUCUGCAAAAGUCUGUGUUCGAUUUGGAGCAAUAUUUUGACCGGUCACGUGUUUAUAAUUAAUUUUGUCUUCUUCGCAUGACAAGAAAAAAAACCUUCUGGCAACUUGAAAAAAAUCGAAAAUUUUGUGGAGAAACGACUUCAGAUUUCGAUUCCGUUGAAUUUAAACACAAAACAUUUCGACUUAAUCGCUAUAAUUUGUGCGAAUUGUGAAUGUAUGGUCUCCGUAGUCUAAUACUGUUCGAUAUAAUUUUAUGAAAUCUCUACCAAUUAUUGCGUCACAAGGAAUAUUUAAUUUACUUGGCAUUACAUGGAAUUUAUGAAUUAUUUUUAUAUUUUCAAUUUCAAGAUGCAUUUCAACAAAGCCAAUUGAUUUAAUUGGAGUUUUUACCACGCCACAGACUUCUAUUAAUUCAGAUUUGUUUAUUUCAAUAUUUUUAUCCAGACUAUUUUCUUUAACAAUUGAUAUGUCCGCUUGACUGUCAACUAGGAAGUAAAUACCAUUUUCAGAUAUGUUAUUCUGCGUAAUUUAGGUUCAUUGAGAAUAUUCGUUUCACGUUUUCGAUUUUUAAGCUUUCAUUAUUACUCUUAUUCACAACUUAAACUUCUUCACUUGCGUGCUUACGUACGUGUUCGUUUUUGAAUUUUGAAAAUUCAAAUUAAAUUCGAAGGACCAAAAAUGUAUCGAUGGAAAUAAUACAUUACAAUGAGUUAUACUAGUUCAGUUGACUGCUGUAACAUAACUGACUUUUUAUUAAUUCAUUCUUACUUGCUAAACAUUUGUGUAUGACAGGGCGUUGGCCGCUGUAUUGCUUUGUAGGCAUAAUGAAUUGGACUUUGAACAAUAUGCUGAAAUUUGUAUGAACAAUAUAGACUUUGAACAAUAACAUGUUCUUGAACAAUAAGAGAGAAAUAUAUUGAAUGUAUCAAAUUACCGUUAGCAGCAGGUUUGCUAUAGAAUACCAGCUAAAUGAAUAAGGAGCUGAAUGUAAAUGAGUGUUACUCGUUCAGAGGUUGAGUUGAGACUAAAGUUUCAUUUAUUAAACAGUAUGCAAUUGCCUUACAGGACAACGGCGAACAACGUGAGUGCCGUUACACACUGGACGAUUUUCUAUAUGUCUCUACGUUUUGUAUUAUUGCCUGUGGCAGAAUCAGGUGUGUAGUCAUCCACAUUACUACGAGAGCGUUUUGCCGAUGAUUAUGAAUGUGUGGUCGAACUCGAAGCAGUCGUUCGGGUUUGAUCUGAUGCAACUUUAUUGCCCAAUCGCUCCUUAAUCGACCGCUUCUGUUCUCCCUUAUUCGCAAUCGUCUCGGUCGAAGCCUUCGGUGUGCUUGUUAUUUGCUGCACAUUUGAAGUGGUCGGUUUUGCUCUUCUGUUCUGUUCUGAGCGCCGACGCUACCUUCGUCCUGUUUUUCUGCUCGAAAACGGGCCUUCGCAUUCUUUUUUCUUUCAUUUCGUUUCUUAUUCUUUAAUUUUUUAUUUUUUUCACCUCCCUCUGAACCCGAUGUCACUUCGGUGGUUGAAUCCGUUUGCUUUUUGUUUUCAAUUGUGUUCACCGCCCGAUAUUUCAUCUGUUCGAAUUUCAUUUUCUGUCAAUAUGAUGCUAUCGUCCAUUUUGAACAAAUGUUUGCACCUAAAAUAUCGCUAAAAAUAUAAUAAAUUGAGAGAGAAUGUAUGUUAGAAUGUAAAUAUAGUUAUUUAGUGUGGAAUAAUGAAUAAAAACCAAAAAUUCGUGCUAUCUGUCAAGAGAUGGCGUUGCUGUGUGCCCCUGUGUGAGACAGGUGGUCUUUGAAUAGAUCCAACACAGCACAGACAAUCGCACGAAAAUCCACUAAGAAUCCAAUUCUGCACACAAAACACUAAAUUAUUCAAUUAAAUCCAGCCAAUCGUGGUUGUACACACCCUGGCUGCACUUCUUAUCACAAUUCCACUUUAUUUCCAGUUGGUUUUUUUGAUGUACCGGUUUGUCAUUUAACCACUUAACCACGCAUUCGGUUGCGCGUUUCGUUGUGUCAACAUGGAGUCGCGUUGUUGUUGUUUUCUACCGAGUUUAUGUAUGAUUUUGAAUACAAAUAUUAUUGACAUUCCAAUCAGCACAAAAACAAUUACUUUUAUCCACAAUUCCAAGUCAUUGUUUGUCACUUUUAAUUCAUUCUCGUUAAUC
Long non-coding RNA from Sitodiplosis mosellana (orange wheat blossom midge), 3234 nucleotides. RefSeq lists it as uncharacterized. NCBI's taxonomy places the organism in Eukaryota, Metazoa, Arthropoda, Insecta, Diptera, Cecidomyiidae. The record is from RefSeq and is a predicted model, not a curated record. The transcript has 4 exons.